UGAAUCCUCAGUUGAAUCCUCAGUCAUCUUGCCAGCUUUAAACCAACCUACCUUGAAAUUAUAGCUGCUUGAGAAAUCUUCUUCAACCCGAAAGAAGCAGAAGAAGAGUGCCACCCGUCCCCUUCCUUUCUACGAUGGCGGACACUCGUACAUAAGGGGUAAAUCCGUGAUUUUACUAUACAAUACAUAAAAAGAGUCAAGAAUUGUUAGCAAAUGAAGGGUAAUUGCAUCAAUCAACUAACACUCUUUGAGUUUAAAUAAAAUGGCAGUAUGAGAUAACAAAAGGUUUUGAAGCAAGGCACCAUUUAUUAAACUUCGAAUCAUAUAAAAGAGAAACUUAACUCUCCUGAAAGAUGAAACUAAGGUUUUGAAGCAAGGCACCAUUUAUUAAACUUCGAAUCAUAUAAAAGAGAAACUUAACUCUCCUGAAAGAUGAAACUAUAGUAUUGUCCUCGUUGACUUAAUUAACUAAAUAAUCAGAAAAGCUAAGUAGCGUGUCAAAGAACCAUUUGAACGUUGAGCACACUUAUUAGUAGCCUAGAGACGGUAAAGCAGGUUUCCAUAUGAAGCAAAAGAGAAUUUCAAAACUACUUGAGCCGUCAUGAAUAAAAGCCUACACACACUGAGGGAAUAGCCAAAACUCUCAAUACCAUCUGCAUCCAUUUAUCAAAACGUUUUUUGUUUGUCCUAAUAAGCAAGCCUCAAAGGAAAAAUCUACAAUUAUUUACCUUGAGCACAAAGGACUUCGAAAGCUGUACACAAAAGCCCGAAGAAAUGUAGAGCAACAUCUCCUGAAACAAAAAACAGAAGCAGAUCAUACACUCAGACGACAAAUCUAAAUGAUAUGAACAGAACACCCAAAAUUACAUAAACAAAAUUCAUACGCAAAUUCCAUCUGAAUAUCGAAAGUUGUCAGCAAGAUUCUAUCGCCUAUGAAAAUAUCUCCAUCAUCAUCACAUUCAAAUCAACUUUAGUUAAUUGAAUUAACUUUAAUAAUUGUAAUAGGAAGUAAUGAUUAUGUCCAACCUUCGGGUCAACAUUUGUAGGCUAUAUCUGCAAAAAAGUACUAAAAAAAGUUUUAAAACAGCCAUACUAAAAAAGUAGAAAAACUCACCAACGAAUGCCAGACGUUAAAAAAAGGGACCCUGAUAAAAUCGAAAAACCAACAAAAUUCGUAUCAACUGAAGAUAUGAUAAGGUGUAAUAAUGAGGCUUCAUACCUUGUUAUAUACCUUGAGCACAAAGUGGUUCCAAUGUUGCAUACGAAAG
RNAcentral lists this long non-coding RNA (1268 nucleotides) under Malus domestica (apple). RNAcentral's name for it is "long non-coding RNA (MDOM_LNC010173)". The record is from RNAcentral. Lineage: Eukaryota; Viridiplantae; Streptophyta; Magnoliopsida; Rosales; Rosaceae.